Molecule: unclassified non-coding RNA, 339 nt
Filed under: soil metagenome
Description: partial contains 5.8S ribosomal RNA, internal transcribed spacer 2, and large subunit ribosomal RNA
Rfam family: 5.8S ribosomal RNA (bases 1-120)
Source: RNAcentral
GAUGAAGAACGUAGCGAAAUGCGAUAAGUAAUGUGAAUUGCAGAAUUCAGUGAAUCAUCGAAUCUUUGAACGCACAUUGCGCCCGCCAGUAUUCUGGCGGGCAUGCCUGUUCGAGCGUCAUUUCAACCAUCAAGCCCCCGGCUUGUGUUGGGGACCCUGCGGCUGCCCGCAGGCCCUGAAAACCAGUGGCGGGCUCGCUGUCACUCCGAGCGUAGUAGCAUAUAUCUCGCUCAGGGCGUGCUGCGGGUUCCGGCCGUUAAAAGCCUUUUUUUUACCCAAGGUUAACCUCGGAUCAGGUAGGAAGACCCGCUGAACUUAAGCAUAUCAAUAAGCGGAGGA